This is a non-coding RNA of Nothobranchius furzeri (turquoise killifish), 317 nucleotides long. Lineage: Eukaryota; Metazoa; Chordata; Actinopteri; Cyprinodontiformes; Nothobranchiidae. The record is from RefSeq and is a predicted model, not a curated record.
UUUUGGUCUGCUGCUGCUGUUGCUUCUUGUUCCUUCCCGCCCUGACACGGAGGUGAAGAUCGACCGUCAAGAUUCUAGAGGAAGUGAAGCUCAUAAGCAAAGUGGAUGUGGAGAAACGCAUAGUCACCAACUUUGCCAAGAUGUCCCAAAAAUUGUUGACAAGGCUCCUAAAAGUGCCCUCAAGGACAAGUGUUUGGUUGGGCUUGAUGCCUCAGAGACAGAGGAGGAAAGAAGAGGUCAGAUUGUCAACGCUGCAGUGCUUCUACUACCUUCCGUCUUCAAAGAGGACCCACAGCAGCUAUUUGUCAUUGACAAGG